RNAcentral lists this long non-coding RNA (359 nucleotides) under Ananas comosus (pineapple). RNAcentral describes it as "long non-coding RNA (ACOM_LNC010467)". Lineage: Eukaryota; Viridiplantae; Streptophyta; Magnoliopsida; Poales; Bromeliaceae. The record is from RNAcentral.
GCAUUUUUAUGAAUGUAAUAAAGGAUUUGUGUUUCUUGCAGAUGGAAAUGAUUUUCUGCCCCUCGUGGUAGCGAGUUUUAAAAGUAAAAAGUUUUCGGGUGGAAAACAGUUUUUAAAAGGUUUUCUCGUGGUUUUCGUGACUAGUAUUUCAAAACGAGUUUCCGGGUAGGAAACAUUUUAAACUAAUAGUUGUGAAUUUAUGGAUAAACUCUGGAUGUGAAUGGUGCACGAAUGUAUGAAUGUAUGAGAUGUGAAUGGUGCAUGAAUGUAUGAAUGUAUGUAUAUUCAUAAGUGGUGGUUGUAUCCUGUUUUAUGUAUCUUGUACUUGUGCGACGUCGUGCAAAUACAGGGGAGACUCU